Molecule: non-coding RNA, 210 nt
Organism: Beggiatoa sp.
Lineage: Bacteria; Pseudomonadati; Pseudomonadota; Gammaproteobacteria; Thiotrichales; Thiotrichaceae
Source: Rfam
GUAACCGUCCAUAAAUAACUUAGGCAACUAAGUGAUUUUAAGGUUACCCGCUUUAGUUCUUCAGAACUCCGUUAGGGACGAAAAUAUAGGCACUCUUGUGAUGCAUCUCCAGUCCAAGACCCUGCGGGGAGUCAUUAAACAAGUCUGAUGGAAAGGUUAGUGUGGCUCCCAUUCAAAACCGUCCUAUAACAUUAGCUAGGAGACCAUUAC